GUUUACCAACUUUCCCCAGUCCAAAAUAUUUUAAUGGACUGUACACUGUAAUUCCAGCACAAAGUAAAGGAGGAAGAGAAUCAAGUGGUACAUUGUUAGGAAUUCGAAGGAUGUAAUGUUCAUUAACAACUACAUGAUCAGAAAAACCUCCAUAAGUGAUUUUGCCAUCCAGGUGAAUAGAAUUGUAGGUGAAUAUCAUUUCGGGACAAUAAUUUUCAAGGUCAUUGACACAAUUCUCACAAGAGUGGCAUGCACCAACAAUACAGCCAACGCCGACUUUAUCACCAAUUUUGACCUUCUUCACCUUGUUCCCAACUUCUGUCACUUCUCCAACAAUUUCGUGUCUGCAAGCAGUGAAUCCGUUAAAAGCAUCGAACUGUUCUCAUGAUAACAAGUAGUAGCAUGUUUAGAGGCAAGAAUUUAAAGUUAGAAGUUGGCAUACCAACGGAUAUAUACGCAUAUGUAACGAAAAUAUACAUAUACAUAAUAUAUAUAUCCAACACAAAAGAGAUAAUUGUGAUAGAUAAGCUAUUCUCAUUAUGCGAAAUACCGGCUAGCGUGACCAUCCAAAUCUUGUUUAGUUAGAUGUUUGAUGAGAUUGAGAUAGUUUUAGUCCUUAACAAACCAAAAGAAAAGAUCACAAGGUUAUAAUUACCCGGGAACCAUAGGGUACACAGCAGUUUCCCAGAUAUUUUUUGUUAUGCAAAGAUCUCCAUCGCAGAUUCCACAAUACAACACCUUUACCCUCACGUCUUCCUCGCCUGUUCCCCUGCAUUGCAAUUCAAUAUGUACACAUAUCACGCAUCACCUACGCGUAUACAUAUAUGCGUAUGCACAAGUGUAUAUUUUCGAACAGUGUGAAGAGAAACGAAUUGGGAAAAGGGCCAAUGGCAGAGUUUGCGAAAGGGUACCUUCUGGAGAAGUUGAAGGGAGAGAGAUGACCGGAAGAGUCUCUCGCUGCCCAGCCAUAUGCCUUAAUAGGGUACUCUGUUUCUGGUGAGCGCUCUGCCAUUUUCUUUUUCUUGAACUAGAAAAACAAGAGAGCCAAGUAUGAGCGCUGUACCUCCCUCGGAAAUAUAUACAUAUCUAUGUCUUUGGGUUCAUAUAUAUAGAAUUUAUUAUUAUUAAAAGUGUAAAUAGAUUGAAUUUAUUAUUAUUAUUAUUAUUACUGCUAUUAUUAUUAAUACAUAUUCACGUGGGCUGGUCCACCAUGCAUGGUACAACUAUAUAUAUAUAUAUUCAUCAUUAUUUUAUACGAUUAAUUCCUGAUCAUUAAUCACCAAAUCGUAACCGAGCUCAUAUUUUAUUCGUUAUGGUUGUGGAAGCCUGCAGCUUCCUAGCUGUUUCAAUAAAUUUGCUUUGCAGUUAGUUUAUUUCUAUUUUAUUUUUAUUUAAUUACUGAAUUUAAUAAUUAGAGUAAACUGCUCGUAUUUUAUUAUUAAAUUCAAUAAUUAAUUAAUAUGCAGAUAAGACGUGCUUAUUUUUUUAUUGAUUAUGAUUAUGAAAGUCUGUAAUGUGAUAAUUUAAUUCUAUAUUUUUUUUUAAAAAAAAAUCAUUUUUAAAUGCAAUAUGAUAUAUAUUAUUUUAUUUUAUUCAAAAUAAAUUUUAAAUUUCUAUUUUAAACUUUGCCACAGUCAUCUAAUAUUGAUAUCAUUACAUAAAAUCAAAAGAUGUAGACGCAGAUGCGCAUGGCUAAGUGGCUAGAGCUUCAACUGAUCUGGAUGUGUUGAAAUAUUAUUUCUCUCCCUCUCUCCCGAUGUGUAUCAUGUAUAUAUAUUUGUAUGUGUGCGAUGCACCCUUGUUACCUAGAAGGCCUCAUUUUGUUCUUUCGCCCUUACGUACUUAUGCAUACAUAUAGAGUCAAGUAAAUCCCCUCUUUGAAUCAAAAUAAAUAAAGCAAAAUGGGAUUGUCACCGGAAGAAGAACAUCCUGUUAAGGCCUUUGGCUGGGCAGCAAGAGACUCUUCUGGUCAUCUCUCUCCUUUCAACUUCUCAAGAAGGUGAUCCUACUCCCCCCCAUCUCAUAAUUCUUACUUUCCUUUUCUUUCUGUUUAGGUGUAUUAACCUUUUCUUCUUUGAUAAUGUAGUCUUAGAGGAACACGUUAUCAACCAUUUGAUCUUGGGCUUUUUAGUUUAGUUCUCGACGAGAAAAAAUCUAUAAUUGUAUAAAAUAUGUACAGUUGAUUGAUUACAUAAGUUUUUGUGAGCAGGGAAAGUGGUGAGGAGGAUGUGAGGCGAAAAAAUCUAUAGUUAUGUCGUUCGAUUUCCUGAUAAUAUAUUACUUCAUACUGCUCCACCUUUACUAUGUGCUGGAAUUACAGUAUACAGUCCAUUGAAAUACUUCAGACUUGCAGAAUCAGAAAAGCAUGUUGGUAUUGUAGGCCUCGGUGGCUUAGGUCAUUUAGCUGUUAAAUUUGCCAAAGUAAUGGGGGCCAAAGUUACUGUCAUCAGUAGCUCACUUAGUAAGAAAAUUGAUGCCUUGGAACGUUUAGGUGCUGAUUCUUUUUUGCAUAGUAGUGACCACGACGAAAUGCAGGUAUAUAUAUAUAUAUAUAUCUAGUUAUAUAUGUUAAUUAUUGAUGAAAAAUUUUAUUUAAAUCACUGAUCUAUGGAUAUAAAUGUUGGACGCGCAGGCUACGAUGUUAGAUAUGUGGUUGACGUUUCUGUUUCUCAUCCUAUCACACCAUUAAUUGACCUACUCAAGUCUCAUGGACAACUUGUCUUAGUGGGUCCAGACAACUCACUAGAAUUACCAACCUUACCUUUGACGAAAGGUAAAUGCAUAUAUAUAUACAUAUGAAAAAUAUUGCAUGCAGAUAAAAUGCUUAUUAAAAAAGCUAUUUUAAUCUAGAACUGGUAAUUAAAAAGAAUUAAUCAUUAAGAACAUACUUAAACUAAUUACUUAUUUUCGGACAAAUGAUACCAAAUUAACUCCAAUAUAUUCCAUACAUAUUAUCAAUAAAUGUUCAAAACUAAUAUUCAUACACUCGCUGAAUGCAUGUGACAAAACAGGAAGAAAAACUGUAGCUGGUAGUGCAUACGGAGCAACAUAUGAGAUUCAAGAAAUGAUUGAUUUUGCAGCAAAACACAAUAUAAAUGCAGAUGUUGAGGUUAUUUCAGUAGAUUAUCUUAACCAGGCUACAGAACGACUCGCUAAAGCUGAUGUUAGAUAUCGAUUUGUGGUUGACGUUGGCAAUACCUUGUCUUCUAUAAAUUCCACAUUUAACUAAGGAUCCUAGCAUGUUCCUUAGUUUCUGUAAUUCUUUGGAAACUUUUUCAAAGCUUUUCGCUUUAUUGUUAUGCAUCCUAAAACUGAUAUUAAAUAUCGAUUUGUGAUUGACGUUGGCAAUACCUUGCCUUCUACAAAUUCCACAUUUAACUAAGGAUCUUAGCAUGUUCCUUAGUUUUUGUAACUCUUUGGAAACUUUUUCAAAAUUUUUCGCUCUAUUGUUAUGCAUCCUAAAACUGAUGUUAAAUAUCGAUUUGUGGUUGACGUUGGCAAUACCUUGGCUUCUACAAAUUCCACAUUUAACUAAGGAUUUUAGCAUGUUCCUUAGUUUCUGUAACUCUUUGGAAACUUUUUCAAAAUCUUUCCCUCUAUUGUUAUGCAUCCUAAAGUUAAUGUUAAAUAUCGAUUUGUGGUUGACGUUGGUAAUACUUUGCCUUCUACAAAUUUCAUAGUUAACUAAGGAUCUUGGCAUAUUCCUUCUUUCUUAGAACUUUUUGAAAAUUUUUUUAAGUUUCUAUUGACAAUGUCAUGCAUCUUUUGUGAACAUUUUGAAACUUUUAAUUACAUGUAAUAAUAAAAAUUAAAUUAUUUUUAUGACAUAAUUACUUUUAAAUUUAAAAAUUUUCUAAUUUAAAAAUAAGAAUCGUCGUCACAACGUGCAAAUGAUACCACUCAGUUAACCUUAAUUAAAUAUAUCAUACCAUUUAAAUUUCGAAUCAUAUAUAGCCUCUAUUUUUCAUUUUUUAAAAUUUUGUAUGGACUACUCGUUUUUAUUAAAUAUUUAUUCAUCACGGGAUGGUCAAAACCAUGAAAUANNNNNNNNNNNNNNNNNNNNNNNNNNNNNNNNNNNNNNNNNNNNNNNNNNNNNNNNNNNNNNNNNNNNNNNNNNNNNNNNNNNNNNNNNNNNNNNNNNNNNNNNNNNNNNNNNNNNNNNNNNNNNNNNNNNNNGAUUCUUUACGGGUUUGAUUUUUAAUGUGUGGGCUUAAUGUGGGGUUUAGUAUGUAUAUCAGGCUGUCAAUUUAAUGGACUCGUUUAAACUGAUCAAAUAUGAUUGAACAAUAUUGGAUCUUAAUAGAUCGAGUUUAAGUAUGAACUUAUAAUGUGCAGAUACUAUUUUUGUAAUAUUCUCAUUUCUAUGAUGGACGAAAUGAAAAUUGCAAAACUUAGUCGAUAUAAAAGGCGAUUAUGAUCCCCGAAUCAAAAGACUGUCAUUUUAUUUUUCUGAAAUUCCGUCACCAGAAAAGCUAGUUUCAAUGCGCCGUAUUGAUUUGGAAGAUCCUACCGCCGAACGUGAACAAAUCUUCUGCGAUAGAUUCAGAUACACUUACGAUUAUAUUUCUCUUUAAUUUAGUACAAUUAUGUAUAUUUAAUUUUAUAGAUCUACGAAUUUGAAAAGAAAUAUUAUUCUAACAAUUAGUAUCAGAGCCAUUUAUCGUAUCGAAUGUUUUAAGAAAGUUUUAUUUUUGUUUUUUAUUUUGUAAUUUUAGAUUUUAGAUUCAAAACUUUAGAUUUUGGAUUUGUUUUUGUUUAGUUGAAUAAAUAUAUAUAUAUAUAUGCAAAAAAUUAAGAAACAUAUAUAUUAAGAAAUUAAGUAUUGUAUAUGUAUAUAUAUAUUUUAAGCAUGUAUGUAUAUAUAUAAAAAUAAAAAAUAAAUAAAGCAGCGGCCGACCGCCACUACAUGAAGAAGAAAAUUCGGCAGUUUACAACCAUUCGGCUAUUAAAUUUAGUCCAUAACGGCUAAAUUAAAUUUAGUUUAAAAAUAUUUAAAAAGCAACCCUUACAGAUUGCAUGAAUUUAAUUUACUAUUUAAUUUUUUGUUUAAAAUUAAAAGGGUGAGGGUUUUGGAUUUGAUGGGUUGUUUAUGUUUAAAUUUUAAAAAUUAUAAUUAUGUGGGCUUGGAUUACAAUAAGAGAAAAGAUCGAAUCUGCUGGCCUAAAAUUCAGGCCCGUUUAGGAUGGGCCAACUUGGUCUAGACUCAACUCGGCAUGGACCCGACGGGUGUUGACCCAACCCAAUCAACAGUUAACAGUUGAUCAGUCAAUGGUCAACGGUUGACGAUCGACACUUGACUGGUCAACGGUUAAAGUUGACUUCGACUAGUCAAUAAUUAACCCUUGAAAAUAUAUAUAUAUAUAUAUUAAAGAGUAUUUUUUUAUUAUUUUAUAGUUGAUUUUCUUCAUAAUUUAGUUUAAAUUUGGUUUUAAUUUUGAAUUUUAAUAUUACUAUGUGUAUAUACAUAUUAAAAUAACUUAAUUAACAUAUGUCACCAAAGUAAUAUCUCUUGUGGAUUAUUUAUUUAUUUUAUAAUGUAAAUAGUUAUAUGAGUGUAAUUUAUAUAAAUGUUAAUCGGCCCAAAGAAAUGUUAAUAUUUAACAUUAUUGCAUUCCAUUUUUGAGGUAAUAAAUAUGUGAUAAUUAUUCAGUAUGAUAUGUGAACUUUAAAUCAACCCAAAGGAAUGUUUAUUAUUUGAUAUUUCUCUACUGUCUGUAUUUAAUUACUGUUACAGGGUACCACUUACAAGUUAAUAUUCGGUUUAAAGAUAGAGAGUUAAUGGAGUGUUCGGUAUCUUGAUAUGGAAAUAUACAUUUAUUUAAAAUUUAUUAUUAAAUUUUAUAAUUUAUAGUUUUAUGUGAGUAUUAAUUUAUUUAUUUUUGUAUGUUCUCUGUUUAACUUCCUUUUUUACUGGAAGUAUCACCACAAAUGUUAAUUCAUUUCCAAUGUUGAACAUCACAAAUUUCAAGCAAUUGAAGAAUAAUGUUCAACUUGUGCUUGAAGUUAUGGAUCUGGAUUGGGCUUUACGGGUUGAUCAACCCGAUCCAAUUACUCCUAACAACACUCAUGAGGAAAAGAAAGAGUUUGAAGGAUGGGAUCGAUCAAACCGUAUAAAUAUGUUGGUUAUGAAACAGACCAUUCCAGAGUUUUUUUAGGCACUAUGUCCGAUGAGGUCACAAUAGCUAGAGAUUUUAUGCAUUCUCAAGAAUAACAAUUCUCCAGAAGUGAUACGGCUGAAGUAUGUAUAUUUCAUUCUGACUUUUGUUUCCAUUAGGUAUAAGGGAAAUAGAGACAUUAGAGAGCACAUAAUGGAGAUGUCACAUGUGCAUGCAAAGCUCAAAGCACUUAGAGUGAAAUUGUCAAAAGAAGUAUUUGUGUACUUUGUUUUAAUUUCUCUUCUACCAUAAUUUAAUCAUUUUAAGGUGACAUACAACUAUUAGAAAGAAUCAUAAAAUCUGAAUGAACUCAUUUCACGUGUGUUCAAGAGGAAGAAAGACUCAAGUCUGAGAGGACAGAGAGUGCUCAUUUAGAAGUGAUCUCCAAAAAUAAAAAGAACAAUAAAAAGCAAACAGGUAAAUCUAUUGGGGUUCCAAUACAAUAUAAGAAGCAACAAAAGGCUUAGAUUGAAAAUGUUUGUUUCUUCUAUUAAGUUCCGAGACAUUAGAAGAAGCAAUGCGCUAACUAUAAUGUGUGGUGCACAAAGAAAUGUAUGCUUCUUAAUUUUGUUUGAUUUGAGGUUAAUUUAACUUUUGUAUCAAUACACACAUAGUGGAUAGAUUCUAGUGCCACAAUUAAUAUCAAUGUCUCUAUGUAGUGUUGCCUCCAUUGCCGCAAACCAAGUGAUGGUGUCAUAUUCAUUUAUGUGGGCGAUGGCAAACUAGUAGAGGUGGAAGCAAUUGACAAAUUUAGAUUGUUGUUAAGUAUUGGAUUUUAUUUGGAUUUAGAAGAGACUUUUAUUGUACCGUCAUUUAGACGGAAUGUGAUUUCUGUUUCUGUAUUAGAAAAUUUUGGUUAUUUAUGUUCAUUUGAAAAUAAAAAAAAUUAGUCUUUUUCUUAAUUCAAAUUUGGUUGGUUCUAAUUCUUUAUCAGUGCAUGAUAAUCUUUAUUUGCUUGAUAUAAUUGUUUCUUAUAAUGAAUCCUUACAUGUUGCUAUAAGAGGUAUGAAGAAAAAAUUAACCAAUAAGGAUUCUGCUUCUUUAUGGCACAAGAGAUUAUGUCACAUCUCCCAAAAGAGAAUUGAGAGACUUGUGUCAUAAAAAAUUCUCUCUCUCCUUGAUUUUUUAUAUUUUAAUAGAUGUGUUCAUUGUAUCAAGGGAAAACAGACAAAUAUUAAGAGAUUAGGUGCCAACAGAGCUAUGGACCUAUUAGAUAUUUGUGGAUCGUUCCCUACGGUUUCUUGGAAUUGUCAACAAUAUUUCAUAAUGUUAUAGAUGAUUAUUUAGGAUAUGACUACCUAUAUCUCAUUCAUGAAAAGUCUCAAUCCCUAGAUGUGUUCAAAAGUUUUAAAACAUAAUUUAAAAAUCAACUCAACAAAAGGAUUAAAGCUGUUAGAUCUUACUAUGGUGGUAAAUACUAUGGUAGAUCAAAUGGAUUAGGUGAACAGCGUCUAGGUCCGUUUGCUCGAUUCCCAAAUGUUGUCCUACAGUACACCAUGCAAGGUUCUCCUAACACGAAUGGUGUUGCUGAAUGGCGAAACAGAACAUUUAAGGAUAUGGUAAGGAGUAUGAUUAAUCAUUAUACCUUAUCUGAAUCACUUUGAAGAGAAUCAUUAAAGACUGCAACAUAUUUACUCAACAAAGUUCCAACUAAAGAACUUCAAAGAUCCCUUAUGAGCUUUAGACGGGUAAGAAGCCUAAUUUGAGACAGUUGCAUAUUUGUGGAUGUUCAGCUGAGGCUAGGCCCUAUAGGCCAUAGGAAAAGAAACUUGAUUCCAAGAUGUUAGUUGUUAUUUGUUGGUUAUUCUGAGGGAUUCAGGGGUUACAAAUUUUAUGAUCCCACUAUUAGGAUAAUUUUUUAGAUGAGAAAUGCCCAAUUAUUUGAGGAUGUUGAGUUUGCAGGGGGAGAAAAAGUUAACGACCUUGUUUUUGAAGAUGAACGGGUCAAUAUUCUUAUUCCCUCAGGUGCCCUUGAUAAUGAUCAGGACCAGGUUCUUAUACCUAACAAUAUCAUAAUAUCUUCCGUUCUUAUUCAGAAAACUGUUCCUGAAAUACAAACUUCAUACCCUCAAAAACUUAUAUCAUUAAGAAGAUUCACAAGAGAAAGGAGAAAUGCAAUACCAGAUGAUUAUAUUGUAUAUCUCCAAGAAUAUGAGUUUGACAUUGAUACGGUGAAAGAUGAUCCUAUCAACUUCUGUGAAGUUAUGAAAAGUUCUAACUCUCGCAGGUGAUUUGCUACCAUGAAUGAAGAGAUAAAAUUCAUUAAAGACAAUGACGUUUAGGAUCUUAUCUCAUUGCCUACGGAUGCGAAACCUAUUAGUUGCAAAUUGAUAUUUAAGACCAAGAGCAAUUCGAAAGCUAAUUUGGAGAGGUAUAAGACUUGUCUUGUCACUAAGGACUUUACACAGAAAGAAAACAUCGAUUAUAAAGAGACUUUCUCUCCAAUUUUGCCAAAAGACUCUUUCAGGACUAUAAUGACUUUAGUGGCAUAUUUUGAUCUUGAUUUACAUCAAAUGAAUAUUAAGACAACGUUUCUCAAUGGUGACAUUAAUGAGACGAUUUAUAUGGUGCAACCAGAAAAUUUUGUAUUCGAAGAUGCACAGCAAAUAGUUUGCAAACUAAAAAAAAUCUAUCUAUGGACUUAAACAGACUUUCCAUCAUUAGUAUCACAAAUUUCAUCAAGUCAUCAUCUCAUUUGGUUUUGAGAUGAAUUUAGUAGAAGAUUGUGUAUACCAUAAGUUUAGUGGGAGUAAAUAUUUUUUUCUAAUUUUAUAUGUCGAUGACAUACUACUUGCCAACAGUGAUAUAGGUUUAUUGCACGAAACCAAUAGAUUUCUAACAACGAAAUUUGAUAUAAAAGAUCUUGGAAACACCUUUUUGUAUUAGGGAUCCAAAUAUACUAAGAUCACUCUUGGGGUAUUCUUCGAUUAUUACAGAAGAGGUAUAUCGAAAAAGUUCUUAAAAUAUUUGGCAUGCAGGAUUGUAAACCAAGAGACACCCAUAUAUCUAAAGAAAACAAAUUUACUUUAAGUCAAUGCACCAAGAAUGAUUUAGAGAUUACGGAAAUGCAAAAGAUUUCUUAUGCUUCUGUUGUAGGGAGUUAUAUGUAUGCACAUGUUUGUACGCGUCCAGAUGUUGUGUACGUUGUUAGGAUGUUAGGUAGAUAUUUAAGUAAUCCAGAUAUGGAUAAUUAGAAAGCAACCCAAUGUGUCAUGCAAUAUCUACAGAGAACAAAUGAUUAUAUGCUCACAUACAAGAGGUCAGAUCAGUUGGAGAUUAUUGAUUAUUCUGAUUCUGAUUUUGUUGGGUGUCAAGACAGUAAAAAAUCUACAUCAACCUAUAUUUACUUACUUGCUGGGGAGUUAUUUCCUAUAAGAAUGCUAAAUAAAUACUUGUAGCCUCUUUUACUAUGGCAGUAGAGUUUGUAGCUUGCUAUGAGGCAUCCAAUAAUGGAAUAUAGCUGCCGAAUUUUGUCACUGGGUUUUGUAUUGUUGAUGGUAUAGAAAGACUAUUAAAGUUAUUUUGUGACAAUAAAUCUACAGUUAUGUAUUCCAACAACAAUAAGAGUUCGAAGAAAUCAAAACAUAUAAAUAUUAAGUUCCUUAUUAUUAAAGAAAGAGUUUAGAGUAAGCAGAUAUCGAUAGAGCACAUUGGAACGAACUCUAUGAUUGCGGAUAUGCUCACUAAGGGAUUACCAUCUAAGGUCUUUCAUGAAUACACUGCUCAUAUGGGUGUUGUAUCCAUAGAUGAUGUGUAGUUUCAGUGAGAGUCUUGUACCAUAGUUGCAUUUAUCUUGUGAGACAUGUCAUAAAUUAUGUACUUUGGUUUAGUUUAUGAAUAUAUGGUUUCAUUUAAGUUUUUUUAUUUUAAGUUUAUAUAUAUUAUUAUCUCUGAAUUUUUGUAUAGUUGAUCUCACUAAGAUUAACAGAAGACCAGUUAGAAAUAGGCAUGGUUAGAUCACAUAGCGUGUAAUUUCCAUGUUCCACAUCCAUGCUCCACAUCCAUGCUCGAUCCUGUCAUUCGGUUAUACUGAUAUACGUGACCAUUGAUGGGUUUAGUUACGUUAAUUAUAGUGAUGGUGCUUUGAUACUAUGUCUUUAUGAUUGAUGAAUGAGAUUUUUUGGUGAUGCAUUCACAUAUUGAUAGCAUAGUUCUGAGUACUCCUACAGUUAUUAACGCAUAGUUAAGGUGUCACAUAAAGUCUAAGUGGGAGAUUAUGCAUAUUAAGCUGUCAAUUUAAUGGAUUCAUUUAAAAGUAAUCAAAUAUAGUUAAACAAUAUUGGGUCUUAAUGCAUUGGGUUUAAGUAUUGGCUUGCAAUGUGCAGAUACAGUUUUUAUAAUAUUCUCAUUUUAUGAUAGACGAAAUGAAAAUUAUAAAAGUUAGUAGAUAUAAACGGCAGUUAUGACCCCUGAAUCAAAAGGUUAUCAUUUUAUUUUUUUGAAACUACGCCACUAGAAAAAAUUAGUUUUAAAGCGCCAUAUUGAUUUGAAAGAUUCUAAUGCCGACGUGAACAAAUCUUCUGCGAUGGAUUCAGGUACGUUUUUGAUUAUAUUUCUCUUUAAUUUAGUUUGAGGAUGUAUGUUUAAUUUUAGAGAUCUACGAAUUUGAAAAGAAAUAUUGUUCUAACAUAACGGACACUUACAUACAUAUAUUCACGCAAUAUAUAAAAUAUAACAAUACUUAUAAUCAAGAAAGUGUCAAACAAAAUAUCUCAAUUAAAUACACAACCAAAAAAGUCAUCACACGAAAAUAUUAUAAUCCUCACUCUUGUAACAUAAUUCUUGUUCUUAUUUCAAAUAACACUUACACUAGAAAUAUUACAAUACACUUGUAAUAUCACAUCUAAGAUUUCAUAGUGCGAUACCGUUUAUAUCCUCGUCGAGGAGAGGUGAAAUAGAUUCUUUCAUCGCAUGGAUAGCACACACACAAAAUCUCACAUUGACCACAACAAUUACGUUUUCUAGGUAACCCAUGCUCACAAAUAUCUAUCCACGUCUGGACUAGAUUUCAAACUCUAUCCAUGUGCAAGUUCACCAUACCCGUUAAACUUCAACCACACACAUACCUUCCCCUUCUUAAUUCAGACUAAACAACUAGGUAUCUAGUGUUCUUACACUCUACACUCCUUUCAAAUCUCUCUCAUUUUCAAUUCACUUAUUUAAUACCUAAUAUCUCAAUUUUUAAACAUAAUAAAAUACAAAUACACACACAAAAAAUAUAUAAUACAAUCAUGCACAAAAGAGUCAUAUAUUUUAAAUCACUUUCUGAAUUAUCAUGUACCAGACCACAUUACAAGCAUAGAAUCCUCAUAUUUUUGUCGCAACUGUACUAGAUCACACAACAAGUACAGUGCAUCGUACAUUUACACCAUAUCACACAGCAAGUACAGUGUACCUAAAUUACACAUGUGCACGCAUUGAUUAUACAUUUCACAUGCAUAACAUAUGUACAUACAUUAAUAUACAUUCAUAUAUUACAAUACAGACAUAUACCCUCAUUAUAUGUCUCACACAGAGUAUAUAUUUAUAUUUACGCACAAUCUCUAUCGAUACAUACACACAAUCACACACAACAUACCAUAUAUCAUAUUUAUUCACACAUCUGUUCUUAUCAGCUCUGUUCUUAUCAAUUCUAUUCUUAUCAAUUCAUAUCUCAUAUAUUGUAUAUUGUAUAUAUACACACACACAUGCCUAAUAACGUAGAUAUAUGUACUAUAUAAAUACACACAAAUACAAAUUAGACAUUAAUUAUAUUUAUAUUAUAUUACAUACAUUUAAACAUUCACACAUAAUGUAUUAUACAUAUACACAUCUACAUAAACAUAUAAUUUAUGUUUUCGUACGAAAUACAUAUAAUUCUUACUUAUGGUGUGAUCGAAAAAGCUUUGAAAAUCAUUUCUAGUUCGAUUUCCUCUCAGAAAUUCGAAUACCGUUUAAAUAAUUUUUUUCAUUUAUAGUUGGAAACACAUAUAUUAAAUUAUAAAUAAUUUUAAAAACUAUAUUACGUGAAAUUAUGAACAAAUUUUAACUUCGAAGACACUGUUCCCGUCGCCAACGUCACCACGUCCAUCACACGCAUGUCAUCGAUGUGCCACGCGCUGAUGAUUGAAUCAGUGCGUGUUGUCGCAUGCGGUACACCAACAUCAUAUUUGGUCACUACUCUUCCAUUUUUCUUCCUUAAUUUUUUUUCUCCUUUUUUUUUCUUUUUUUUUCUCUUUUUUUUUCUUUCCUUUUCUUUCUCUUUUCUUUUCUUUUUUUUUUCUUUUCUUUCUUUUUUUCUUUCUUUUUUUUCUUUUUUUUUUCCUUUUUUUUCUCUUCCCCUUUUUUUCCUUGUUUUUCUUUUCUUCUUCCUUCCUCUUCCCCUAGCUUUUCCCUCUGCUAUUCUUCUUUUUUCUUUUUUUUUUCUUUUUCUUCCUCAUCUUUUUUUUUCUUCUUGUUCUUUCUUUUCCUUUCUUCUUCUUCUUCUUCUUCUUCUUCCCGCAACGUCUCCCCUUCCGCCGCAUCCCAACUUCGCGACUACUGCUCACUCCUCGUCCUCAUGCGGCCAAGGCUCUUCCCCUCACUUCGUUCUCUCGACCCCGAUCCCGUUUUGCCUUCCCUGGCAGCUAACGUUCUUCUUUCCUCUCUAAGAGCUGAAAAUGAAGCUUUUAUAUGGGCUUUUGGGAGCCAUAGAGUCUAUAAGACAAAUAUGGAUCGUACAUUUUUAGAUCUCGCCGCGUGUAUGCACACGCGGCCGAACAGCCUGGGUCGUCCUAACACCUCACCUGCUAAGGUAUUACAUCAAAUUUAUCUAUUCUACCUAAGAAGUAGCCACCAAAGAGGGGUGACUCUCCCGACUUUUACUGUAGCAAUGCGGGAUAAAUAUCUACAAGAAAAAAAAUAUAUUUUUGAAACUUUAGGAAUUUAAAAUAAAAAAUUCACUAUUCAUCAUAUUAAAAGUGGAAUCAAAUGCUAAAUAUUAUACAUUACUAGUCAUUUAUCAGAAACUCAAUAAUAAUACUAUUCAAUGGUACAAAGAACCUACACUAUCAUGUAAACUAAUUAUUUUAAUAUGAUUCGUAAUAUUUUUUAGAAACUUAAUAAUUUUAUGAGUGUGCAAUUAUAACAUCUACUUAUGAACAAAGUUUAAUAAUUAAUGUUUACAGACUGCAUUGAUAACUGUGGAUGCUUAAAUAUAAUUUUUUUAAAAAAAUUAAUUAAAAAUAAUUAAAAUUAGAUAGGUUUGCCAAACUUCGACUUGAAAGAGACUCUUUUCACCAAGCAAAAAAGGUCAUAAUUGUGUUAAGAUAAAAAAGUACAUAAUGAUAUUUAAUGUGAAAGUAACAUAUUAAAUUUAUAUCAUAAUUUACUAUGGAUUAUAAAAAACAAUUUACACUAUUUUGUUAACGCUAUUUCAUAAUACGAAAAAUUAUUAUGAACUCUCUGUUGAAUAUCAAAACAAAUGACUUGACAAAAUUUUACAAUAUUUAAUUUGCUCUAUCAACAUUGUGGUUUGAAAAAUUAUUAUGAACUAUGUGGCCACGCUUUUCUCUCUUUUGUGUUGUUCAAUUUUCUAUUUUUCUUGCUAUUCUUUUUAGCUUCUUUGCGGUUUUCUUUAUGAGCUACCAUUACAUAAAAAAUAUAUUUUAAGACACUUGAAUGCUUAACCUCUUGAAGAAAGAGGUGAGGAGGUACACCACUUAGGCCAAAAUUAAGAGUGCGCUCCUUUGGAACUUUGUUCUUCUCUUCCUCGAACCCUCUCAAAAAAAAAAAAAAACAAGAUUCAAUAAUAGAUUUCAACACAAAAUCAUUUCUAAAGAUCUAAGAAUCAAAUUACAAAAUCCUCUUAAAUUAACAAAAGCAAAAAUGAAUACAUAACAAUAAAAAUAAUAACUAUUAGUAUCAUAUCUUAUCCUUUAUUAUUAGUCAUUAUUUUUCAAAUGUAAUAUAUUUAUUUUUAUGCACCUAUAUAUUCUUAUUGACAUAGGAUUACUAUAAGUCAUGUUCUGCCUUCCAUAUUCACAUCGUGAAUUUAAAUUGGAGUAAAAUAUAAUAUUUUCAUCUCAAUAUUUACUAUAUUUUAUUCUAUAAGAUUAUUUUUAUUGAAUUAAAUAUAUAAAUAACCAUAAUUCAAAGAAACAUGUAAAUGAUUAUUCAAAACUUUCACUCUCAAUGGAUGUACAAAUAAAUUUAUUCUCAAUGUAUGCAAAUAAUAAUAAAAUUAAUGAUGAUAAAAGCAUUUCGAAGUCGCAAGGGACAUACAUAGAAUAUUAGAUGUUGAACAUAGCAAGCCAGAUCUUCUUUUUUUUUUUCCUAAGGCUUUGUAACAGGUAAUGUGUUACCAACAUCAAUGACAAAACGAUAUUUGACAUCAGAUUUAGCAACUCGCUCCAUAGCCAUGUUGACAUAAUCGAUUGGAACAAUCUCGACAUUUGCCUUUAUGUUGUGUUUUGCAGCAAAAUCAAUCAUCUCUUCUGUCUCUUUUAUACCUCCGAUGUAACUCCCAACUAUUUCUUUCCUUCCUAUUUAAUUUUUUAGAACUCGUUAAUGCAUUAUUUAUAUUAUCUUGAUUCUAACAACAAGUUGGGUAUCUUUACUUAGAGUAUUUUCUUUUUCCAUCAAUUCUUAGUUAAUCAAUCACAUUUGUUUUUUGUAUUAGUUAAAUAUUCUUCUAUCCUUACCGUCAUACAAAGAAUAUGGAUGUAUUUCCAAUGGCGUAGCUGGUGCACCUAACAACACAAGUCGUCCCCUGAACUUCAAUAGACUAAAAUAUGGUUCAAGGGAAUGAGCUGCAGAAACAGUGUCAAUAACACCAUCCAUUGUCUUAGCAGCAAACUGUGAUUAAGAAAUUUAAUAUCAGAAGAAAGAUAUUUGAAUUAAAAAGUAAAAACAUGUAAUUUAUUACCUCUAAUUGGUCAGUAUCGUGGCUAACCAAAAAUGCAUCGGCACCCAAACGUUCUAAAGCUUCAGUUUUUUUGCUUGGUGAUGUACUAAUUACCGUGACUUGAGCACCCAUUGCUUUAGCAAAUUUAACAGCUAAAUGACCAAGACCACCAAGGCCUACAAUACCUACAUGUUUACCAACUUUCCCCAGUCCAAAAUAUUUUAAUGGACUGUACACUGUAAUUCCAGCACAAAGUAAAGGAGGAAGAGAAUCAAGUGGUACAUUGUUAGGAAUUCGAAGGAUGUAAUGUUCAUUAACAACUACAUGAUCAGAAAAACCUCCAUAAGUGAUUUUGCCAUCCAGGUGAAUAGAAUUGUAGGUGAAUAUCAUUUCGGGACAAUAAUUUUCAAGGUCAUUGACACAAUUCUCACAAGAGUGGCAUGCACCAACAAUACAGCCAACGCCGACUUUAUCACCAAUUUUGACCUUCUUCACCUUGUUCCCAACUUCUGUCACUUCUCCAACAAUUUCGUGUCUGCAAGCAGUGAAUCCGUUAAAAGCAUCGAACUGUUCUCAUGAUAACAAGUAGUAGCAUGUUUAGAGGCAAGAAUUUAAAGUUAGAAGUUGGCAUACCAACGGAUAUAUACGCAUAUGUAACGAAAAUAUACAUAUACAUAAUAUAUAUAUCCAACACAAAAGAGAUAAUUGUGAUAGAUAAGCUAUUCUCAUUAUGCGAAAUACCGGCUAGCGUGACCAUCCAAAUCUUGUUUAGUUAGAUGUUUGAUGAGAUUGAGAUAGUUUUAGUCCUUAACAAACCAAAAGAAAAGAUCACAAGGUUAUAAUUACCCGGGAACCAUAGGGUACACAGCAGUUUCCCAGAUAUUUUUUGUUAUGCAAAGAUCUCCAUCGCAGAUUCCACAAUACAACACCUUUACCCUCACGUCUUCCUCGCCUGUUCCCCUGCAUUGCAAUUCAAUAUGUACACAUAUCACGCAUCACCUACGCGUAUACAUAUAUGCGUAUGCACAAGUGUAUAUUUUCGAACAGUGUGAAGAGAAACGAAUUGAGAAAAGGGCCAAUGGCAGAGUUUGCGAAAGGGUACCUUCUGGAGAAGUUGAAGGGAGAGAGAUGACCGGAAGAGUCUCUCGCUGCCCAACCAUAGGCCUUAAUUGGGUACACUGUUUCUGGUGAGCGCUCUGCCAUUUUCCUUUUAUAGAACUAGAAAAACAAGAGAACCAAGUACUUGACUAAGUAUUAUACUUACGCACUCCAGAAAGAUCAAAUUGAGAAAGAAAAGAAGUAUCAACUUUAUAUUUUUUGUCCAGGCUCAACGGUUUACCGAUCAUAUAAAUAUAUACGUCUCUGGUUGCAUGCAUCCCCAGGAUGGGAAGAGUUGACCCUUUCUUACGUUAAUUAUUAUUAUUAUAAUAUUUUUUUUAGUAGAUCACUGAUAUAUAUUUAUUUUAUUUUAUUUUAUAAAAAUCAAACUUACAAAUUUUCUCGAAUUCAUAAUUUCUAUAAUAUAAUAAAUUAAAACUGGACCAAGUGGGCUGCUUCACCAUGCGUGGUACAACUAUUUAUAUAACAUAUGUUCAUCAUUAUUUUAUACGAUUAAUUCCUGAUCAUUAAUCACCAGAUCUGAAACGAGCUCAUAUUUGAUCUGCUUUUUGUUUAUUUAUAUUUGAUCUUUAUCUUAAUUUUUAAGAUUUAAUAAUUAAUUAACGUGGAGAUAAACGUGCUUAUAUUUUAUUCAUUAUAGUUGUGGAAGAUUUUGAUUUCUUAGCUGUGAUAAUAAAUUUCAUUAUUAAUUAAUAUUUUAUAGACUAUGGUUGCAGAAGACUAUAACUUCAUAGCUGCAUUUAUUUUAUUUUUAUUUGAUUAUUAAUUCUAAAUAAUGAGAUAAACGUGCUUAUUUUUAAUUACUUCAUAAUUUUUUCUUUAAAAAAAAAUAUUUGGUUGUUAUUGGGAUCUUUUAAUAUUAUAUUUUAUAUCCAUAUGAAAUGAUACAACAUCAAAUUAAAAUUCAACUUGUAUGAUUUUGCAAUUUAAUUUGAUUCAAUAAAAAAUAAUUUGGAUCCAAUUGAUGAAUCGAAGUCUAGCAUGAUUGCUCAAAAAAUCUUAAAAAAUAUUGGUCUAGUUCAAUAUUUAUAAUUCAAUUCAAUAUUUAAAAUAUAAUUUAAUUUAAUUUUUAACGUAAAGUAUUCAAUUUUUUUUACCUUCUUUAAAUAUUAUUUAUAUAGUUAUUAAAUAUAGACAAAUAGAAUUCUCCUAUUAUAUGUAUAGUACGCACACAAUCUCAUAUUAAUUACAACAAUUAUAUUAACUACAUUGACUUAUAUAUUCGUAAAUAUCUAUUUAAAUUUUAAAGAAGAAUUAUAUAUGUUUAGAAUAUAAUUUAAUUUAAUUUUCAACUUAUAUUCAAUUAUAGUAGGCACUCAAUCUCAAUCUCAUAUUAAUUACAGCCGUUACGUUGACUCGUUUAUUCAUAACUAUCUAUUUACGUUUGGACUAAAUUUCAAAGAAUCUCCCUCUCCUUUCCUUUCAAAGAAUCUCUCUCUCCAGCCAGCAUCGGCUGGUCUCCUCUCUCUCUCUUUCUGGCCGCCGCUCGGUCUUCUCCUCCUCCUUAUCCGCUUCUCUUCCGUUUUUAAUUAUUUUUUCUUUUUCUUGCUUCGAGAAAUGAAGAUUUCUUAAGGAUUAGAUGUGGUUUACAUCUAUAUAUAUAUAGAGAAGGAUGAAUACGAGCACAAGUGAAGGACAAGGAAAGAUAAGAUGGUUAUUUCCUUGUAGUAAUAAUAAACUUCAAAUUUUAUUUGCAAAAUCUAUCAAGUAAACAUCUAUAAUAUCAUUAAUAAGAUAUAGAAAUCAAAUUCCGAUUUAGGCGCAGCCUCCAGUCUGCAAAAGCCGGCUUAAUUAAUCUCUCUCUUGUUUAAUCUCUCUCUCUUCCUGUAUAUCUAUGUAUCUAUCUGUCAUGUCUAUAUAUUUUUCUACGUGUGCGAUACACCAUUGUUAGCUAUAAAUCCUCCUUUUGUUCUGUCACUCAUACGUACACAUAGAUAUACAGACAAGUAGCCGUCCUCUUUGAAUCAAACUAAAGAAAUCAUUUUUAAAUACAAUAUGAUAUAUAUAAUUUUAUUUUAUUCAAAAUAAAUUUUUAAAUUUCUAUUUUAAACUUUGCAAUCAAAAGAUAUAGACGCAGAGUUAGCUUAUUGGGAAAGACGUGUUUGAUAAGAUAACAAUUGUUAAUUAAGAAACCAGAUGCACAUGGCUAACUGGCUAGAUCUUCAAUUGAUCUGGAUGUAUUGAAAUAUUAUUUCUCACCCUCUCUCCCGAUGUAUAUCAUGUAUAUAUAUUUUUCUACGUGUGCGAUACACCAUUGUUAGCUAUAAAUCCUCCUUUUGUUCUGUCACUCGUACGUACACAUACACAUACAGACAAGUAACCCCCCUCUUUGAAUCAAACUAAAGAAAGCAGAAUGGGAUUGUCACCGGAAGAAGAACAUCCUGUUAAGGCCUUUGGCUGGGCAGCAAGAGACUCGUCUGGUCAUCUCUCUCCUUUCAACUUCUCAAGAAGGUGAUCCUACUUCCCUACCUUCUCAUAAUUCUUACUUUCCUUUUCUUUCUGUUUAGGUGUAUUUACCUUUUCUUCUUUGAUAAUGUAGUCUUAGAGGAACACGUUAUCAACCAUUUAGUUUAUUUCUCUACGAGAAAAAAUCUAUAAUUGCAUAAAAUAUGUACAGUUGAUUGAUUACAUAAGUUUUUGUGAGCAGGGAAACUGGUGAGGAGGAUGUGAGGCUUAAGAUCUUAUAUUGCGGCCUCUGUGUUGCAGAUCUGUUAGCAAUGAAAAAUGAAUUUUCUGAUGCCCAAACCAUCUAUCCUCUUGUUCCUGGGUAAGAAGAUAUCAGUUAAUAUUAUUAAUUUUAUUUUAUUAUUGCAAUGUAAUAAAUAUAAAAAAUGGUAAUAAAAUUUAUGUAUAAAACAGAUUACCUACGAUUUUACAGGCAUGAAAUUGUAGGAGAAGUGACACAAGUUGGAUGCAAGGUGAUAAAGUUUAAAGUUGGCGAUAAAGUAGGUGUUGGGACAUUAGUUGGUGCAUGUCACUCGUGUGAAAGUUGUAUGGAAAGCUUCGAAAUUUUUUGUCGUAAAAGGAUUUUCAGCUUCAACUUCAUCGACCACAACGAUGGGACUGUAACAUAUGGAGGGUUAUCAAAUCAUAUGGUUGCCAAUGAACGUUAUGUCGUUCGAUUUCCUGAUAAUAUAUUACUCCAUACUGCUCCACCUUUACUUUGUGCCGGAAUUACAGUAUACAGUCCAUUGAAAUACUUCAGACUUGCAGAAUCAGAAAAGCAUGUUGGUAUUGUAGGCCUCGGUGGCUUAGGUCAUUUAGCUGUUAAAUUUGCCAAAGUAAUGGGGGCCAAAGUUACUGUCAUCAGUAGCUCACUUAGUAAGAAAAUUGAUGCCUUGGAACGUUUAGGUGCUGAUUCUUUUUUGCAUAGUAGUGACCACGACGAAAUGCAGGUGUAUAUAUAUAUAUAUAUAUAUAUAUAUAUAUAUAUAUAGUUAUAUAUGUUAAUUAUUGAUGAAAUAUUUAUUUAAAUAACUUAUCUAUGGAUAUAAAUGUUGGACGCGCAGGCUGCGAUGGGCAGUAUGGAUGGUAUUCUCGACACAGUUUCUGUUUCUCAUCCUAUCACACCAUUAAUUGACCUACUCAAGUCUCAUGGACAACUUGUCUUAUUGGGUCCAGACAACUCACUAGAAUUACCAACCUUACCUUUGACGAAAGGUAAAUGCAUAUGCAUAUAUAUAUAUACAUAUGAAAAAAUAUUGCAUGCAGAUAAAAUGCUUAUUAAAUAAAGCUAUUUUAAUCUAGAACUGGUAAUUAAAAAGAAUUAAUCAUUAAGAACAUACUUAAACUAAGUACUUAUUUUCGAACAAAUGAUACCAAAUUAACUCAAACAUAUUCCAUACAUAUUAUCAAUAAAUGUUCAAAACUAAUAUUCAUACACUGACUGCAUGCAUGUGACAAAACAGGAAGAAAAACUGUAGUUGGUAGUGCAUACGGAGCAACAUAUGAGAUUCAAGAAAUGAUUGAUUUUGCAGCAAAACACAACGUAAAUGCAGAUGUGGAGGUUAUUUCAGCAGAUUAUCUUAAUCAGGCUACAGAACGACUCGCUAAAUCUAAUGUUAGAUAUCGAUUUGUGGUUGACGUUGGGAAUACUUUGCCUUCUGCGAAUUCCACAUUUAAUUAAGGAUGCUAGCAUGUUCCUUAAUUUCUGUAACUCUUUGGAAACUUUUUCAAAGUCUUUCGCUUUAUUGUUAUGCAUCCUAAAGCUGAUGUUAAAUAUCGAUUUGUGAUUGAUGUUGGCAAUAUCUUGCCUUCUACAAAUUCCACAUUUAACUAAGGAUCUAAGCAUGUUCCUUAGUUUCUGUAAUUUUUUGGAAACUUUUUCAAAAUCUUUCGUUCUAUUGUUAUGCAUCCUAAAGCUGAUGUUAAAUAUCGAUUUGUAGUUGACGUUGGCAAUACCUUGCCUUCUACAAAUUCCACAUUUAACUAAGGAUCUUAACAUGUUUCUUAGUUUCUGUAACUGUUUGGAAACUUUUUCAAAGUCUUUCGCUCUAUUGUUAUGUAUCUUAAAGCUGAUGUUAAGUUUCUAUUGAUAAUGUCAUGCAUCUUUUGUGAACAUUUUGAAACUUUUAAUUACAUGCAAUAAUAAAAAUUAAAUUAUUUUUAUGACAUAAUUACUUUUAAAUUUAAAAAUUUUCUAAUUUAAAAAUAACAAUCGUCGUCACAACGUGCAAAUGAUACCACUUAGUUAACCUUAAUUAAAUAUAUCAUACCAUUUAAAUUUCGAAUCAUAUAUAGCCUCUAUUUUUCAUUUUUUAGAAUUUUGUAUGGACUACUCGUUUUUCUUAAAUAUUUAUUCAUCACAGAUGGUCUAAACCAUGAAAUAUGAUUACGAGAAAGUAAUAUAGUGCUAAAAACAUCAUAAUCUAAAUAGGUUGCUAUCUAUUAAAUUACAUUGGCAUUUAAAACAAAGAUAAAAGCUGAGAACUUCCAUUCCGUUUCACUUACUCUAAUUGUAUAUUCCAACUUCCCACAGCCCAUGUAAUUUAGAUUCUUGAUCCCAAACCUAAUCAUUUUAGCCAAAUUAUUUGCUAGAGAGUUCUCUUUGUGCAAUAUGCCAAAAGUUGAUCUGUUUCAACAUUCGCUUUGCUUUUAUAUAUUUAUUUUCACUCAAAUAUAAUAGUUCGAAUCUCAAUAUCGGUGGGUACGAACGUUAACACAAUAUUUUCAAUUAGCAGAAUAUAUAAAUAUUAAAUAUGUAACAGAAUUAUAUUUUAAUACACAUCUUUUAUGAGAGGAUAAUUACUUGUUACAAACAAUUAAGUAAUCUAAAUUAAUUUACAAAUCUAAAAUAGAAAUUAACAAGGUUUUUUUCACUAUUGUCUAUUAAUCUUGGACUUGUUUCUCAUCUCCUCUCACCUAAAUAAGGGUGAAUUGGGGUGAGCUUCAUGAUCUCAGUAAGAAAAAAGAUUUUAUAACGUGUUUGAUUUUUCUAAUGUGGGGUUUAGUAUACAUAUCAGGCUGUCAAUUUAAUGGACUCAUUUAAAACUGAUCAAAUAUGAUUGAACAAUAUUGGAUCUUAAUAGAUCGAGUUUAAGUAUGAACUUAUAAUGUGCGGAUACUAUUUUUGUAAUAUUCUCAUUGUAUCAUGGACGAAAUGAAAAUUGCAAAACUUAGUCGAUAUAAAAGGCGAUUAUGAUCCCCGAAUCAAAAGGCUGUCAUUUAUUUUUCUGAAAUCCCGUCACCAUAAAAAACUAGUUUCAAGGCGCCGUAUUGAUUCGGAAGAUCCUACCGCCGAACGUGAACAAAUCUCCUGCGAUAGAUUCAGGUACACUUAUGAUUAUAUUUCUCUUUAAUUCAGUACAAUGAUGUAUAUUUAAUUUUACAGAUCUAUGAAUUUGAAAAGAAAUAUUAUUCUAACAAUUAGUAUCAUAGCCAUUUAUCGUAUCGAACGUUUUGAGAAAGUUUUAUUUUUGUUUUUUAUUAUGUAAUUUUAGAUUUUAGAUUCAAAACUUUAGAUUUUGGAUUUGUUUUUGUUUAGUUGAAUAAAUAUAUAUAUAUAUGCAAAAAAUUAAGAAACAUAUAUAUUAAGAAAUUAAGUAUUGUAUAUGUAUAUAUAUAUAUAUAUAUUUUAAGCAUGUAUGUAUAUAUAUAUAAAAAUAAAAAAUAAAUAAAGCAAUGGCCGACCGCCACUCUACAUGAAGAAGCAACCAUUACAGAUUGCAUGAAUUUAAUUUACUAUUUAAUUUUUUGUUUAAAAUUAAAAGGGUGAGAGUUUUGGGUUUGAUGAGUUGUUUAUGUUUAAGUUUUAAAAAUUAUAAUUAUGUGGGCUUAGAUUACAAUAAGAGAAAAGAUCCAAUCGGCUGGCCCAAAAUUCAGGUCCGUUUGGGAUGGGCCAACUCGGUCUAGACUCAACUCGGCAUGGACCCGACGGGUGUUGACCCAACCCAGUCAACGGUUAACAGUUGAUCAGUCAAUGGUCAACGGUUGAUGAUCAACACUUGACUGGUCAAUGGUUAAAGUUGACUUUGACUAGUCAACAAUUAACUCUUGAAAAAAUAUAAGUAUUUUUUUGUUAUUUUAUAGUUGAUUUUCUUCAUAAUUUAGUUUAAAUUUGGUUUUAAUUUUGAAUUUUAAUAUUAGUAUGUGUAUAUACAUAUUAAAAUAAUUUAAUUAACAUAUGUCACCAAAGUAAUAUCUCUUGUGUAUUAUUUAUUUAUUUUAUAAUGUAAAUAGUUAUAUGAGUANNNNNNNNNNNNNNNNNNNNNNNNNNNNNNNNNNNNNNNNNNNNNNNNNNNNNNNNNNNNNNNNNNNNNNNNNNNNNNNNNNNNNNNNNNNNNNNNNNNNNNNNNNNNNNNNNNNNNNNNNNNNNNNNNNNNNNNNNNNNNNNNNNNNNNNNNNNNNNNNNNNNNNNNNNNNNNNNNNNNNNNNNNNNNNNNNNNNNNNNNNNNNNNNNNNNNNNNNNNNNNNNNNNNNNNNNNNNNNNNNNNNNNNNNNNNNNNNNNNNNNNNNNNNNNNNNNNNNNNNNNNNNNNNNNNNNNNNNNNNNNNNNNNNNNNNNNNNNNNNNNNNNNNNNNNNNNNNNNNNNNNNNNNNNNNNNNNNNNNNNNNNNNNNNNNNNNNNNNNNNNNNNNNNNNNNNNNNNNNNNNNNNNNNNNNNNNNNNNNNNNNNNNNNNNNNNNNNNNNNNNNNNNNNNNNNNNNNNNNNNNNNNNNNNNNNNNNNNNNNNNNNNNNNNNNNNNNNNNNNNNNNNNNNNNNNNNNNNNNNNNNNNNNNNNNNNNNNNNNNNNNNNNNNNNNNNNNNNNNNNNNNNNNNNNNNNNNNNNNNNNNNNNNNNNNNNNNNNNNNNNNNNNNNNNNNNNNNNNNNNNNNNNNNNNNNNNNNNNNNNNNNNNNNNNNNNNNNNNNNNNNNNNNNNNNNNNNNNNNNNNNNNNNNNNNNNNNNNNNNNNNNNNNNNNNNNGAAAGAUGAGAUCGAUCAAACCGUAUAAAUAUGUUGGUUAUGAAAUAGACCAUUCCUUAGGUUUUUUAGGCACUAUGUCCGAUGAGAUCACAAUAGUUAGAGAUUUUAUGCAUUCUCUAGAAUAACAAUUCUCCAGAAGUGAUACGGUCGAAGUAUGUAUAUUUCAUUCGACUUUUGUUUCCAUUAGGUAUAAGGGAAAUAGAGACAUUAGAGAGCACAUAAUGGAGAUGUCACAUGUCCAUGCAAAGCUCAAAGCACUUAGAGUGAAAUUGUCAAAAGAAGUAUUUGUGUACUUUGUUUUAAUUUCUCUUUUACCAUAAUUUAAUCAUUUUAAGGUGACAUACAACUAUUAGAAAGAAUCAUAAAAUCUGAAUGAACUCAUUUCACAUGUGCUCAAGAGGAGGAAAGACUCAAGUCUGAGAGGACAGAGAGUGCUCAUUUAGAAGUGAUCUCCAAGAAUAAAAAGAAUAAGAAAAAGCAAACAGGUAAAUUUAUUAAGGUUCCAAUACAAUAUAAGAAGCAACAAAAGGCUUAGAUGGAAAAUAUUUGUUUCUUCUAUUAAGUUCUGAGACACUAAAAGAAGUAAUGUGCUAACUAUCAUGUGUGGUGCACAAAAAAAUGUAUGCUUCUUAAUUUUGUUUGCAUUGAGGUUAAUUUAACUUUUGUAUCAAUACACACCUAAUGGAUAGAUUCUGGGGCCACAACUAAUAUCAGUGUCUCUAUGUAGUGUUGCCUCCAUUACUGCAAACCAAGUGAUGGUGUCAUAUUCAUUUAUGUGGAUAAUGGCAAACUAGUAAAGGUGGAAGCAAUUGGCAAAUUUAUAUUAAUGUUAAGUACUGGAUUUUAUUUGGAUUUAGAAGAGAUUUUUAUUAUACCGUCAUUUAGACAGAAUGUGAUUUCUGUUUCUGUAUUAGAAAAUUUUGGUUAUUUAUGUUCAUUUGAAAAUAAAAAAUUUAGUCUUUUUCUUAAUUCAAAUUUGGUUGGUUCUAAUUCUUUGUCAGUGCAUGAUAAUCUUUAUUUGCUUGAUAUAAUUAUUUUUUAUAAUGAAUCCUUACAUGUUGCUAUAAGAGGUAUAAAGAAAAAAUUAAUCAAUGAGAAUUCUGCUUCUUUAUGGCACAAAAGAUUAUGUCACAUCUCCCAAAAGAGAAUUGAGAGAGUUGUGUCAUAAAAAAUUCUCUCUCUCCUUGAUUUUUUAUAUUUUAAUAGAUGUGUUCGUUGUAUCAAGGGAAAACAUACAAAUAUUAAAAGAUUAGGUGCAAACAGAGCUACGAACGUAUUAGAUAUUUGUGGAUCGUUCCCUACGGUUUCUUGGAAUUGUCAACAAUAUUUUAUAAUGUUCACAGAUGAUUAUUUAGGAUAUGACUACCUAUAUCUCAUUCAUGAAAAGUCUCAAUCUCUAGAUGUGUGCAAAAGUUUUAAAGUAUAAUUUAAAAAUUAACUCAACAAAAGGAUUAAAGCUAUUAGAUCUUACUAUGGUGGUAAAUACUAUGGUAGAUCAGAUGGAUCAGGUAAACAGUGUCUAGGGCCGUUUGCUCGAUUCCCAAAGGUUAUCUUACAGUACACCAUGUAAAGUUCUCCUAACAUGAAUGGUGAUGCUAAAUGACGAAACAGAACAUUUAAGGAUAUGAUAAGGAGUAUGAUUAAUCAUUCUACCUUACCUGAAUCACUUUGGGGAGAAGCAUUAAAAACUGCAACAUAUUUACUCAAUAAAAUUCUAACUAAAAAACUUUAAAGACCCCUUAUGAACUUUUGACGGGUAAGAAGCCUAAUUUGAGACAGUUGCACAUUUGUGGAUGUUCAACUGAGGCUAGGCCUUAUAGCCCAUAGGAAAAGAAACUUGAUUCCAAGAUGUUAGUUGUUAUUUAUUGGUUAUUCUGAGGGAUUCAAGGGUUAUAAAUUUUAUUAUCACACUAUUAGGAUAAUUUUUUAGAUGAGAAAUGCCCAAUUAUUUGAGGAUGUUGAGUUUGCGGGGGGAGAAAAAGUUCACGACCUUGUUUUUGAAGAUGAACGGGUCAAUAUUCUUAUUCCCUCAGGUGCCCUUGACAAUAAUCAGGACCAGGUUCUUAUACCUAACAAUAUAUCUUCCGUUCCUAUUCAGAAAACUGUUCCUGAAAUAUAAACUUCAUACCCUCAAAAACUUAUGUCAUUAAGAAGAUUCACAAGAGAAAUGAGAAGUGCAAUACCACAUGAUUAUAUUGAUUUGGAAGAUUCUAAUGCCGACGUGAACAAAUCUUCUGCGAUGGAUUAAGGUACGCUUUUGAUUAUAUUUCUCUUUAAUUUAGUAUGAGGAUGUAUGUUUAAUUUUAGGGAUCUACGAAUUUGAAAAUAAAUAUUGUUCUAACAUAACAGACACUUAUAUACAUAUAUUCACACAAUAUAUAAAAUAUAACAAUACUUAUAAUCAAGAAAGUGUCAAUUAAAAUAUCUCAAUUAAAUACACAACAAAACAAGUCAUCACACGAAAAUAUUAUAAUCCUCACUCUUGUAACAUAAUUCUUGUUCUUAUUUCAAAUAACACUUACACUCGAAAUAUCACAAUACACUUGUAAUAUCACAUCUAAGAUUUCAUAGUGCGAUACUGUUUAUAUCAUCGUCGAGGAGAGGCGAAAUAAAUUCUCUCAUCGUAUGGAUAGCACACACAUAAAAUCUCACAUUGGCCACAUAGUUACGUUUUCUAAGUAACCCAUGCUCACAAANNNNNNNNNNNNNNNNNNNNNNNNNNNNNNNNNNNNNNNNNNNNNNNNNNNNNNNNNNNNNNNNNNNNNNNNNNNNNNNNNNNNNNNNNNNNNNNNNNNNNNNNNNNNNNNNNNNNNNNNNNNNNNNNNNNNNNNNNNNNNNNNNNNNNNNNNNNNNNNNNNNNNNNNNNNNNNNNNNNNNNNNNNNNNNNNNNNNNNNNNNNNNNNNNNNNNNNNNNNNNNNNNNNNNNNNNNNNNNNNNNNNNNNNNNNNNNNNNNNNNNNNNNNNNNNNNNNNNNNNNNNNNNNNNNNNNNNNNNNNNNNNNNNNNNNNNNNNNNNNNNNNNNNNNNNNNNNNNNNNNNNNNNAAAAUUGAACAUGACUCACAAUAUAUUACCAAAUUUCGAAUAUAAUCUGAAUUCGUACCAAAUUUAACAACCUAAUUAAACGAGAAUGAUAAUCACAUAAAAAAUUUGAGGGACACAGUGUAAUUUCUCAAAAAAUUUAUAAAAAAAAAUAAAAUCAUACCCUCAUUAAUACUUAAACACAUAUACACAAUCACACACAACAUACCAUAUUUAUAUUUAUUCACACAUCUGUUCUUAUCAGCUCUGUUCUUAUCAAUUCUAUUCUUAUCAAUUCAUAUCUCAUAUAUCGUAUAUUUUAUAUAUAUACACACACAUGCCUAAUAACGUUUAUAUAUAUACUAUAUAAAUACACACAAAUACAAAUUAGACAUUAAUUAUAUUUAUAUUAUAUUACAUACAUUUAAACAUUCACACAUAAUGCACUAUACAUAUACACGUCUACAUAAACAUAUAAUUUAUGUCUUCGUACGAAAUACACAUAAUUCUUACAUAUGGUGUGAUCGGAAAAGCUUUGAAAAUCCUUUCUAGUUCGAUUUAUGGUCCUCUCAGAAAUUCGAAUACCGUUUAAAUAAUUUUCUUCAUUUAUAAUAGAAAACACAUAUACUAAAUUAUAAAUAAUUUUGAAAACUAUAUUACGUGAAAUUAUGAACAAAUUUUAACUUCAAAGACACUAUCCCCGUCGCUAACGUCACCACGCGUCAUCACACGCGUGUCACCGAAUGUGCCACGCGCUGAUGAUCGAAUCAGCGCGUGCUGUCGCAGGCGGCGCACCAACAUCAUAUUUGGUCACCACCCUUUCAUUUUUCUUUCUUAUUUUUUUCUCCUUUUUUUUCUCUUUUUUUUCUUUCCUUUUCUUUCUCUUUUCUUUUCUUUUUUUUUUCUUUUCUUUCUUUUUUUCUUUCUUUUUUUUCUUUUUUUCCCUUUUUUUUCUCUUCUCAUUUUUUUCUUUUGUUUUUCUUUUCUUCUUCCUUCCUCUUCCCCUAGCUUUUCCCUCUGCUCUUCUUUUUUUUCCUUUUUUUUUUCUUUUUCUUCUUUUUUUUUCUCUUCUUCUUCUUCUUCUUCUUCUUCUUGCAAUGUCUCCCCUUCCGCCGUAUCCCAGCUUCACGACUACUGCUCUCUCCUCCUCCUCAUGCAGCCAAGGCUCUUCCCCUCACUUCGUUCUCUCGGCCCCAAUCCCAUUUUGCCUUCCCUGGAAGCUAAGGUUCUUCUUUCCUCUCUAAGAGCUAAAAAUGAAGCUUUUAUAUGGGCUUUUGGGAGCCAUAGAAUCUGCAAAACAACUCUGGACCGUACAUUUUCAGAUCUCACCGUGUGUAUGCAUACGUGGCCGAACGGCCUGGGCCAUCCUGACAUCUCACCUGCUGAGGUAUUAUAUCAAAUUUAUCUAUUCUACCUAAGAAGUAGCCACCAAAGAGGGGCGACUCUCCCGACUUUCACAGUAGCAAUGCAGGAUAAAUAUCUACAAGAAAAAAAAAAUAUUUUUGAAACUUUAGGAAUUUAAAAUAAAAAAUUCACUAUUCAUCAUAUUAAAAGUGAAAUCAAAUGUUAAAUAAUAUACAUUACUAGUCACUUAUCAGAAACUCAAUAAUAAUACUAUUCAAUGGUACAAAGAACCUACACUAUCAUGUAAACUAAUUAUUUUAAUAUGAUUCGUAAUAUUUUUUAAAAACUUAAUAAUUUUAUGAGUGUGCGAUUAUAACAUCUACUUAUGAACAAAGUUUAAUAAUUAAUGUUUACAUACUGCAUUGAUAACUGUAGAUGCUUAAAUAUAAUUUUUUUUUUAAAAGAAAAUUAAUUGAAAAUAAUUAAAAUUAGAUAGGUUUGCCAAACUUUGACUUGAAAGAGACUGUUUAUCACCAAGUAAAAAAGAUCAUAAUUGUGUUAGGAUAAAAAAGUACAUAAUGAUAUUUAAUGUGAACGUAACAUAUUAAAUUUAUAUCGUAAUUUACUAUGGAUCAUAAGAAACAAUUUACAUUAACGCUAUUUCAUAAUACAAAAAAUUAUUAUGAACUCUCUGUUGAAUAUCAAAACAAGUGACUUGACAUAAUUUUACAAUAUUUAAUUUUUUUGAAAAUAUUUAAUUUGCUCUAUCAACAUUGUGGUUUGAAAAAUUAUUAUGAACUAUGUGGCCACACUUUUCUCUCUUGUGUUGUUCAAUUUUCUAGUUUUCUUGCUAUUCUUUUUAGCUUCUUUGGGGUUUUCUUUAUGAACUACCAUUACAUAAAAAACAUAUUUUAAAACACUUGAAUGCUUAAUCUCUUGAAGAAAGAGGUGAGGAGGUACACUUAGGCCAAAAAUUAAGUGUGUGCUCCUUUGGAACUUUGUUCUUCUCUUCCUCGAAACCUCUCAAAAAAAAAAAACAAGAUUCAAUAAUAGAUUUCAACAUAAAAUCAUUUCUAAAGAUCUAAGAAUCAAAUUACAAAAUCCUCUUAAAUUAACAAAAGCAAAAAAAAAAUUGAGUAUGGGUUUCAAAUUGGGUUCAAAAUAGGAGAGAAAUUUUAUUCAUAAAAUGAAUACAUAACAAUAAAAACAAUAAUUAUUAGUAUUAUAAUAAUAUAUUAAGGUCAUGUAUCAUCACUUUAUACAAGAACAUGUUGCCCUUAAACAACUUGAUAUUCAGGUUCUUUCGAAGACUAAUUUACUACAUAACAUCAUUAAUAAUCAUUUCUCCUAGAAACUUUUCUCAAGUUCAAAGAAGUUCUAUCUUUGUUCUCUGUUGCCAUCAUUUUGUGAGGUUUCAGGAUAAUAGACAUGGUUUGUUCAGUAUCAUCUCUUAUCUUUUACUAUCUUCGACCUUUAUUAUUAGUCAUUAUUUUUCAAAUAUAAUAUAUUUAUCUUUAUGUACCUAUAUAUUCUUAUUGACAGAGGAUUAAUAUAAGUCAUGUUCUGCCCUCCAUAUUCACAUUAUGAAUUUAAAUUAGAGUAAAAUAUAAUAUCUUCGUGUCAACAUUUACUAUAUUUUAUUCUAUAAGAUUGUUUCUAUUGAAUCAAAUAUAUAAAUAACCAUAAUUUAAAGAAACAUUUAAAUGAUUAUUCAAAACUUUCACUCCCAAUGGAUGUACAAAUUAAAUUUAUUCUCAAUAUCUACAAACAAUAAUAAAAUUAAUAAUGAUAAAAUCAUUUCGAUAUCGCUAGCACAUACAUAGCAUACUAGAUGUUGAACAUAACAAGUCAGGCCUUUUUUGUUUAAGGCUUUGUAACAGCUAAGGUGUUACCAACAUCAAUGACAAAACGAUAUUUGACAUCAGAUUUAGCUACUCGCUCCGUAGCAAUGUUGACGUAAUCGAUUGGAACAAUCUCGACAUCUGCCUUUAUGUUGUAUUUUGCAGCAAAAUCAAUCAUCUCUUCUGUCUCUUUUAUACCUCCGAUGUAACUCCCAACUAUUGUUUUCCUUCCUAUUUAAUUUUUUAGAAUUCGUUAAUGCAUUACUUAAGUCGUUUAACAUAUUAUAGUCUCUAAUUAAACGGGAAUGAUUCAAUUCUCACAAAAAUUUUCCUUUUAAUUUAUUCUUAAUUAAUCAAUCAGAUUAUUUGUUGAUAUUAAUUAAAUAUUCUUCUAUACUUACCAUCAUACAAAGAAUAUGGAUGUAUUUCCAAUGGUGGAUGUAUUUCCAAUGGCGUAGCUGGUGCACCUAACAACACAAGUCGUCCCCUCAACUUCAAUAGACUAAAAUACGGUGCGAGGGAAUGAGCUGCAGAAACAGUGUCAAUAACACCAUCCAUUGUCUCAGCAGCAAACUGUGAUUAAGAAAUUUAAUAUCAGAACAAAGAUGUCUGAAUUAAAAUGUAAAAACAUGUAAUUUAUUACCUCUAAUUGGUCAGCAUCAUGGCUAACCAAAAAUGCAUCGGCACCCAAACAUUCUAAAGCUUCAGUUUUUUUGCUUGGUGAUGUACUAAUUACCGUGACUUGAGCACCCAUUGCUUUAGCAAAUUUAACAGCUAAAUGACCGAGACCACCAAGGCCUACAAUACCUACAUGUUUACCAACUUUCCCCAGUCCAAAAUAUUUUAAUGGACUGUACACUGUAAUUCCAGCACAAAGUAAAGGAGGAAGAGAAUCAAGUGGUACAUUGUUAGGAAUUCGAAGGAUGUAAUGUUCAUUAACAACUACAUGAUCAGAAAAACCUCCAUAAGUGAUUUUGCCAUCCAGGUGAAUGGAAUUGUAGGUGAAUAUCAUUUCGGGACAAUAAUUUUCAAGGUCAUUGACACAAUUCUCACAAGAGUGGCAUGCACCAACAAUACAGCCAACACCGACUUUAUCACCAAUUUUGACCUUCUUC
RNAcentral lists this long non-coding RNA (30857 nucleotides) under Carica papaya (papaya). Its description in RNAcentral is "long non-coding RNA (CPAP_LNC005969)". Lineage: Eukaryota; Viridiplantae; Streptophyta; Magnoliopsida; Brassicales; Caricaceae. The record is from RNAcentral.